Molecule: non-coding RNA, 563 nt
Organism: Schizosaccharomyces pombe (fission yeast)
Lineage: Eukaryota; Fungi; Ascomycota; Schizosaccharomycetes; Schizosaccharomycetales; Schizosaccharomycetaceae
Source: the annotation of a GenBank genome assembly
GAGGAGAAAUUAUGCUAUAGCAUAAACAUAUAAGCAUUAUAAACAUGGGCUGGGGCAGAAAUAUGCCUACGCUAAAAGAAUCGGGCGUUUCGAAUUUUUUAGAAGCAAUAGAAUAUGGCACAAAGGAUCGACGUACAAAAUAUGAUGACAGUUUUCCAAGCUGUAUCAAUUUCAAAGGGAACAUUCCAAUACCUUGCAAAACUAUUAAAUCGAUAAAAAAUUGAGCUUGAUGUGGUAACCUGUUGGCAAGGAAAUGCGCAAAACUGGUGGUAUCUUUUGCUAACUCCCAAAUUGAAGUUGAACCAGCAAUAACAUAGACUAGAAAAAAGUUUACAAAGAGAUAAGCAUAAUUCUUACCAACAGCGUAAAUUUCCUCUUCAGCGCGAGAGCUCAGGCCUUGCAUAGACGAUAACCAUCGAAAAAGAAAUGGUGAAAUGCUGAUGAAUAGUGAAUAAACCAACGUUGGAAGGAAAGUGCGCAACAAAGAAUUUAAAAAAGGGAGAUCUUCAAUCAUACGACCAAGUUCCGGCCAGAGUCUUCGAAUUGUAUCUAAGUUAAUAAAU